RNAcentral lists this small RNA (121 nucleotides) under Enterobacter sp. R1(2018). RNAcentral's name for it is "RtT sRNA". It matches the Rfam family "RtT RNA". Rfam says of the family: This family represents a bacterial cis-regulatory element known as RtT RNA. The exact function of RtT is unknown although it is thought that it may be involved in changing the cellular response in relation to amino acid starvation. Lineage: Bacteria; Pseudomonadati; Pseudomonadota; Gammaproteobacteria; Enterobacterales; Enterobacteriaceae. The record is from RNAcentral.
GCUGUAUGCGAUUCGUCUGGAUUUGAACCUGCUGCAGGUUCGGGUUGAGCGAAGCGACACAGCGUUGCUUUAGCAACGACCCAAAGGGCGAGCAGAGCGAGUCAUCCUGCACGACCCACCA